Zalophus californianus (California sea lion) is the source of this 1278-nucleotide long non-coding RNA. RefSeq lists it as uncharacterized. The transcript has 3 exons. The record is from RefSeq and is a predicted model, not a curated record. Lineage: Eukaryota; Metazoa; Chordata; Mammalia; Carnivora; Otariidae.
GGAGGGGGCUGAAGGGGGCGGAACCGUCCCGAGGGCGGCUGGCAGCUCGGGAGCUCAGCGCCGCGCUCUAGGGUUCCCACACCGACCUCCUCCCGAGCCCUCGCCGUGUGGCUUCGGUCGCUACCGAGCCGCGCCUCCUCCGCUUCCUUCGCCUCCUCCUGGCUGCCCUCGAGAGGCGCCGCCACUUCCUGCGGUGCUGAAGGGCUGGGGUAUGGGCCUGGGCCUACAGCGCGGCGGCGCAGAGAGCCGGCUGGUCGUUGACUUGAGGUGUUGAGGGGUUGGGGGCCGCGAUGGCGCUCCCCCUAGGGCGCCUCGGUUGACUGGCAGUUCUGCUUCACAUGGGCCCAGGCACAGCUGGAAGUUCCAAAAUGGCUUCCCUCACCCGGUGGGCAGUUUGUGCGGGCUAGAGGCUGCCUUAGAAUGGUCGUGGGUCAGGGGCCUUGGCUCUUCUCCACUCGGACCUCUCCAUAAAGGCCUUUCACAUGACUGCUUGGGUUGCCUCACAAACUGGAGGGUGAGUUCCAAGAAGGAGCAUUUAAAGACAAGAAGGAAAGAAAGCAAGGUGAUGGGCUGUGAGGAAGGAACCUUGACAAUUUCUCCCGGGAAAAUUCAAAGCCCAAGCUGAGGAGCCUGUGAGAAGUGAUUGGUCCAGUGCCAUGGGAAUCUAGAAUAAGAAACACCACCACCCAUCUUAAUCUCACUGGAGAUAUAUGAAAAGGACUGUUUCAUUGUGACUUUUUUUUUAAGAUUUUUAUCAUUUUUUAAGUUAUCUCUACACCCAAUGUGGGGCUUGAACUCACAACCCUGAGAUCAAGAGCCACACAUUCCACCGACUGAGCCAGCCAGGCACCCCUCAUUUUGACUUAUUUUUUCUUCCAUCGUUAUUUACUUCAAGUAGAAUUAGAUAAAGCCAAGAAAAGCAAAUGUGAGAACAAUGCGGUCCCAUUUUCACCUAUUAAAAAUUUAAGCAGCAGUAUAAUAGCUAUGCUGGCAAAUGGUGGGAAGAUGGUUUGCUUCUAAAUGACUGGUGACUGGAUAUGGGGCGCCUGGGUGGCUCAGUUGGUUAAGCAACUGCCUUUGGCUUGGGUCAUGAUCCUGGAGUUCCGGGAUUGAGUCCCACAACGGGCUCCCUGCUCAGCAGGGAGUCUGCUUCUCUCUCUGACCCUCUUCCCUCUCGUGCUCUCUAUCUCUCAUUCUCUCUCUCUCAAAUAAAUAAAUAAAAUCUUUAAAAAAAAAUAAAUGACCAGUGACUGGAUAAAGUGGUCCAGCUGGUGGAGA